ACAGGCAUAGUUUAACCAAAACACUAGAUUGUGAUUCUACAGACAGAAGUUCAAAGCUUCUUGCCAGUC
Molecule: transfer RNA, 69 nt
Filed under: Rhinatrema nigrum (black caecilian)
Lineage: Eukaryota; Metazoa; Chordata; Amphibia; Gymnophiona; Rhinatrematidae
Description: tRNA-His
Rfam family: tRNA
About the family: Transfer RNA (tRNA) molecules are approximately 80 nucleotides in length. Their secondary structure includes four short double-helical elements and three loops (D, anti-codon, and T loops). Further hydrogen bonds mediate the characteristic L-shaped molecular structure. tRNAs have two regions of fundamental functional importance: the anti-codon, which is responsible for specific mRNA codon recognition, and the 3' end, to which the tRNAs corresponding amino acid is attached (by aminoacyl-tRNA synthetases). tRNAs cope with the degeneracy of the genetic code in two manners: having more than one tRNA (with a specific anti-codon) for a particular amino acid; and 'wobble' base-pairing, i.e. permitting non-standard base-pairing at the 3rd anti-codon position.
Source: RNAcentral